UAAGCAUUAAGAGAGAAACAUUAACAACUUGUCUAUUACUUACUAUGUGUUGUAUCAUUUUCUAGGUGUUGAGAUUAUAUGAAUGGAGAAAACUGGAAAGGUAUGUGUCAUAAUGAAGCUUAUAUUUUAGUGGCUGAAGACAAGCAAUGAAAGCAUCAGCAGAGUAGUUUAAAUGGAAAUAAGAAGUACUGGCCUUUUAAUAAUUGUGACUUCUAGCACACACCAGCAAGGAACUCUGUCACCAUCCAAAGCCUGGAUUUCACAACUGCAUUCAUGCGAAAAAUGCAUAACAAGAACUCAUUAG
Molecule: long non-coding RNA, 304 nt
Filed under: Mus spicilegus (steppe mouse)
Lineage: Eukaryota; Metazoa; Chordata; Mammalia; Rodentia; Muridae
Description: lncRNA (ENSMSIG00000027741.1)
Source: RNAcentral